This 467-nucleotide ribosomal RNA is filed under the name uncultured organism. Its description in RNAcentral is "bacterial SSU rRNA". It matches the Rfam family "Bacterial small subunit ribosomal RNA", at positions 8 to 486 of the family's 1533-position model. The record is from RNAcentral.
AGAGUUUGAUCCUGGCUCAGGACGAACGCUGGCGGCGUGCUUAACACAUGCAAGUCGAACGAUGAACCUGGAGCUUGCUCUAGGGAAUUAGUGGCGAACGGGUGAGUAACACGUGAGUAACCUGCCCUUGACUCUGGGAUAACCUCCGGAAACGGAAGCUAAUACCGGAUAUGACGCACGGAGGCAUCUCCUGUGCGUGGAAAGAACUUCGGUCAAGGAUGGACUCGCGGCCUAUCAGGUAGUUGGUGAGGUAACGGCUCACCAAGCCUACGACGGGUAGCCGGCCUGAGAGGGUGACCGGCCACACUGGGACUGAGACACGGCCCAGACUCCUACGGGAGGCAGCAGUGGGGAAUAUUGCACAAUGGGCGCAAGCCUGAUGCAGCAACGCCGCGUGAGGGACGGCGGCCUUCGGGUUGUAAACCUCUUUUAGUAGGGAAGAAGCGAAAGUGACGGUACCUGCAGAA